UCUGCAGAAAGGUCAUGAGACAAGGUGGA
RNAcentral lists this non-coding RNA (29 nucleotides) under Homo sapiens (human). Lineage: Eukaryota; Metazoa; Chordata; Mammalia; Primates; Hominidae. The record is from RNAcentral.